Molecule: ribosomal RNA, 484 nt
Filed under: uncultured bacterium
Lineage: Bacteria
Description: partial 16S ribosomal RNA
Rfam family: Bacterial small subunit ribosomal RNA
Source: RNAcentral
AUUGAACGCUGGCGGCAGGCCUAACACAUGCAAGUCGAGCGGAUGCAGCGAGCUUGCUCCUGGACUCAGCCGCGGCCGGGUGAGUCCUGCCUAUGAAUCUGCCUUAACGUGCGGGAUGACGUCCGGAAACGGGCGCUAAUACCCCAUCCGUCCUGUGGUCGCAAGUGGGGGAUCUUCGGUCCUCACGCCAUCAGAUGAGCCUAGGACGGAUUCGCUAGUUGGAGGGGUAAAGGCAUACCAAGGCGACGAUCCGUAACUGGUCUGAGAGGAUGGUCAGUCACACGGUAAGAGAGACACGGUACAGACUCCGGCGGGGAGAAGCAGUGGGGAAUAUUGGACGAGGGACGAGAGCCUGAUCCAGCAAUGCCGCGGGUGGGAAGAAGGACUUCGGAUGGGAAAGCGCUGUAAGUUGGGGGGAAGUGAAGUAAGUUUAUCCCUGGCUGUUUUGACGUUACCAACAGAAUAAGCACCGGCUAACUUCGUG